AACGCACAUUGCACUCUUUUCGGAGAGUAUGCCUGUUUGAGAAUCUAAAGUAUCUAUUCACAAAGUGGUUCUUGAAAAAGGACCGCCAAGUGAGAUAUGAACCUUCCGACUCUUUACCAAGAGACGGUGGUUUUAAAGAGAUUUCCGGUUCAACUUGCCCAGGUGAUUGACCUGUUGUAUGUCGACUGAAACGUAUUCGAAUAGCUCCUCUAUGAAGCUUCUUAUCACGGAAUAAGCGACGCAGCAGUUAGUCUGGCAAGAGAGCUGGACCAUACAAACGAGACUCUCAAAAAGAGUCUGAACCAUGGUCUCAAAUCAGGUAGGAUUACCCGCUGAACUUAA
RNAcentral lists this unclassified non-coding RNA (342 nucleotides) under uncultured fungus. RNAcentral's name for it is "partial contains 5.8S ribosomal RNA, internal transcribed spacer 2, and large subunit ribosomal RNA". The record is from RNAcentral. Lineage: Eukaryota; Fungi.